Molecule: long non-coding RNA, 519 nt
Organism: Mercenaria mercenaria
Lineage: Eukaryota; Metazoa; Mollusca; Bivalvia; Venerida; Veneridae
Exons: 3
Source: RefSeq, a predicted model, not a curated record
CAUCUAGUGCUAGGGGAGAAGACUCAUAAAAAUAAAAAAUGGGAAGAAUUUAUAACCUAAUCCCCGUGCCCAAAAAGGCUGGAAUACCCUAUCGAGGGUUUAUAUUCACUUCAAUAUUAUUCGGAGUCGGUGGCGGGAUAUUAUCCGAUGUUCUAAACUACUGGGAUUGGUACUUUCACCCAGAGAAAGUAACAUUUAAGUUAGGCCUGCAAGAAGUUGGAGACAUGAAGAAACGUAGUUAGAUUGUAUUUGUGGAUAUGGAUGACUUCAGAUGUAAAGAGAACAGUGUAGAUGGAUUUUUAGUCUUGAUUGUACCUAUAAUGAACAGGAAGUGGACAAAACAAAUUAUCAGUGGCUUUCUUUGGUUUACACAGAUUUUUAAAAUUUAUAAUGUGAGAUUUGAAUUACAUGUUUUUUAUUAUUACACAAUUAACUCCUAAAAGUAUAGUCAUAUUUUUGUGAUUAUAUUUAUAUUUUAUUGUACAAUUUUGGCUUUAGAAAAAAAAUAUAUCAAACAGA